GUACAUGUGAGAGGGGAUGCAGUGUGUCUGUGUGAGGGGCGCAGAGUACAUGUGAGAGGGGAUGCAGUGUGUAUGUGUGAGGGGUGCAGAGUACAUGUGAGAGGGGAUGCAGUGUGUCUGUGUGAGGGGCCCAGAGUGCAUGUGAGAGGGGAUGCAGAGUACAUGUGUGAGGGGUGCAGAGUACAUGUGAGAGGGGAUGCAGUGUGUCUGUGUGAGGGGCGCAGAGUACAUGUGAGAGGGGAUGCAGUGUGUCUGUGUGAGGGGCGCAGAGUACAUGUGAGAGGGGAUGCAGUGUGUCUGUGUGAGGGGCGCAGAGUACAUGUGAGAGGGGAUGCAGUGUGUAUGUGUGGGGGGUGCAGGUACAUGUGAGGAGGGGAUGCAGUGUGUGUGUGUGAGGGGGCCCAGGUGCAUGUGAGGAGGGAUGCAGGUACAUGUGUGAGGGGUGCAGAGUACAUGUGAGAGGGGAUGCAGUGUGUCUGUGUGAGGGGCGCACAGUACAUGUGAGAGGGGAUGCAGUGUGUCUGUGUGAGGGGUGCAGAGUACAUGUGAGAGGGGAUGCAGUGUGUCUGUGUGAGGGGUGCAGAGUACAUGUGAGAGGGGAUGCAGUGUGUCUGUGUGAGGG
RNAcentral lists this long non-coding RNA (622 nucleotides) under Pelobates cultripes (western spadefoot toad). Lineage: Eukaryota; Metazoa; Chordata; Amphibia; Anura; Pelobatidae. The record is from RNAcentral.